Molecule: long non-coding RNA, 1029 nt
Filed under: Aedes aegypti (yellow fever mosquito)
Lineage: Eukaryota; Metazoa; Arthropoda; Insecta; Diptera; Culicidae
Description: lncRNA AAEL021744
Source: RNAcentral
UAUGUUCUCUGUUUUAAGUAGUUUUAACUUAUUCUCAGAGUACUAUCGAUAUAACUUAUUUUUGAGUUAUUUGAGAAUUAUGAUUUCGAUAAUUUAUUUUGUUUACUUUUUGUCCUAUUAAAGUACCCAAAUCGAAGUGUUGAAACCGCACUCUAUUUUGGAUGAAAAAUAAAAACGACUCCAUUAGGAUAGGUGAUAGGAAGAUUUUAUUGAAAUAUUCAGAUCUAUACAACGUGCACGAGCGUUGGAAAAAAUGCACCAACAGAAAGAGGACCGGAAAAUCAUUCCCGUAAUCAAAUGGAAUUCCAAAUCCGUAAAACUUGAAUUCCACAGGGCAGCCUCACAUAACAGAUGCAUCACAGGAGCAGGAGAAAUCUCGGGAGGAUUAAUCACACCCCACACAUUCGUCACGGAACACGGGUUGCGGAUUUUCUGAAGAUCAUUAAGAUAUCUAUGUGUUAAUUAAUUAUGUAGCCGAAUGUGUUAAUAAUAGUGGAAAAUAAAAUAUAAUUCAUAAGUUAAUUUAUGCAGCCUGUAUGUUGUUCAAGAGAAAUCGCGAUCAAAAUUUCGAACAAUUUUGCCACUGCUAAGAACCCCAUUUUGAGUAGUUUUACCCCAAAAAUCGCUAUUCCCGAAAUAGUUAGUUUUUACUUAAAACGGCCUCUUCGUGGAAUGACUCGAAAUUGAAUACUUUGCAAAAUACUCAAUUUUGAAUCAUUCCACUUAGCUGUCAAGAUGAGUACAAAAGAGUUAAUUUUAGGUAGUUUCGCCUCUCCGUGUAUACGAAAGCUCCGAACAGGUAGGAGAAUGGAAGAGAAUGAUCAGAUAGGGCGAGAAAGAAAAAAAGCGGUUACCGAUUCGUGUGUGAGUUUUCGGUCAUGGAGAAGGAGAAAAAGAUCUUCAGUCUUGAAAGUAGUUUUGUGUCGAACAGUAUGGUUAGCGCGUGAUAUUCAUUUUAGAUAAAUCGGGAACUGUGUUUAAAAAUAAGCUUGAACACUACACUGUGGAGCGGAAAAUCACCUGAAAAUA